CUCCCCUACCCUCUCUCUAUGCAACUCUUGCUCCCAACUCUUACCCAUGAUAGACCCUUUCUCCUAUACGCUAGAGGAUUUUGCUCAAAGUUCGACAUCAUCCUAGAUAUUAUAAAUCUCUUCCACCCUAACCAAGGCUCAUGGGACACUUUGUUUGUUGGCUACUAUAGUCUAUCAGAUUCGACUAUAAUGAAUAUAAAGAGCAAGCCCUUGUAAAGAGAGAAUCAGAAGUACUAAGAAAAGAGGAAGAACUUUAAAAGAGAGAAGAACAGAUUGAGAAGAGGAAGUUGGCACUCCACAAUGAUCAAGCCCAGCUUCAUAGGCAAGAAGCUGAUUUGCGGCAUGCACGCACAUUACUUUGUGU
Molecule: long non-coding RNA, 364 nt
Organism: Juglans microcarpa x Juglans regia
Lineage: Eukaryota; Viridiplantae; Streptophyta; Magnoliopsida; Fagales; Juglandaceae
Exons: 3
Source: RefSeq, a predicted model, not a curated record